Molecule: non-coding RNA, 216 nt
Organism: Paramuricea clavata
Lineage: Eukaryota; Metazoa; Cnidaria; Anthozoa; Malacalcyonacea; Plexauridae
Source: the annotation of a GenBank genome assembly
AAAUUUCGUUGCGAAAUGUUGUAAAAUGCGGAUAAUAUAGCCCUGCGAAGUUUGCCGUUUUCAGUUCAGUCAUUUUGUAUUAUACGCAUGGGAAAUUGAUAUACCGCUUUCUGAAAAAAGGUAUCAAUUUCCCGCGCGUAAUACAAAAUGACUGAAAAACGGCAAACUUCACAGGGCUAUAUUAUCCGCAUCAUACAAUAUUUCGCAACGAAACUU